AGCAGCCGCCGCGGGAAAACGUAGGGUGCGAGCGUUAAUCGGAAUUACUGGGCGUAAAGCGUGCGCAGGCGGUUUUGUAAGACAGGUGUGAAAUCCCCGGGCUCAACCUGGGAAUGGCGCUUGUGACUGCAAAGCUAGAGUGCGGCAGAGGGGGAUGGAAUUCCGCGUGUAGCAGUGAAAUGCGUAGAUAUGCGGAGGAACACCGAUGGCGAAGGCAAUCCCCUGGGCCUGCACUGACGCUCAUGCACGAAAGCGUGGGGAGCAAACAGGAUUAGAUACCCGCGUAGUCCCUGUCUCUUAUAC
Molecule: ribosomal RNA, 303 nt
Filed under: uncultured bacterium
Lineage: Bacteria
Description: partial 16S ribosomal RNA
Rfam family: Bacterial small subunit ribosomal RNA
Source: RNAcentral